This 200-nucleotide ribosomal RNA is filed under the name uncultured eukaryote. RNAcentral's name for it is "partial 18S ribosomal RNA". It matches the Rfam family "Eukaryotic small subunit ribosomal RNA", at positions 581 to 794 of the family's 1831-position model. The record is from RNAcentral.
AAUCACUCCAAUAGCGUAUAUUAAAGUUGUUGCAGUUAAAACGCUCGUAGUCGGAUUUCGGGGCGGGCCGCCGGUCUGCCGAUGGGUAUGCACUGGCGGGGGCGCUCCUCCGGCAGACGGCUGCUACUCUUAACUGAGCGGUGGCCGGAGACGGGAUAUUUACUUUGAAAAAAUCAGAGUGUUUCAAGCAGGCAAGUCGC